Artibeus jamaicensis (Jamaican fruit-eating bat) is the source of this 103-nucleotide small nuclear RNA. The record is from RefSeq and is a predicted model, not a curated record. Lineage: Eukaryota; Metazoa; Chordata; Mammalia; Chiroptera; Phyllostomidae.
UUGCUUCAGCAGCACAUAUACUAAAAGUGGAACGAUACAAAGAAGAUUAGCAUGGCCCCUGCGCAAGGAUGGCUUGCAAAUUUAUGAAGUGUCCCAAAGUCUU